RNAcentral lists this long non-coding RNA (553 nucleotides) under Monodelphis domestica (gray short-tailed opossum). RNAcentral's name for it is "lncRNA (ENSMODG00000032869.2)". The record is from RNAcentral. Lineage: Eukaryota; Metazoa; Chordata; Mammalia; Didelphimorphia; Didelphidae.
AUGCUCGCUCUUGGACCAUCUUCUGUUUCUCCUCCGCCGACCCCUGACUCCAGAUACGCCCCCUCUUCCCUUGCCUGCAGUCUCCUGGUUAGUUUCCACCCCCUUCCCUAUCAGGCCUGGGCCGAUCUGCUCACCGUGCGCGGCCUCCUCCGCGGUGGGGUGGCAGUCCCGAGGCCUGUGGCCGGGGGCCGGCGGGGUGGAGGCCAGGACCGGGGGCCGGCGAAGCUGGGGCCCCUGUUGUCCCUCGAGGCCGGAGCGGCAGAACGAGGGGGGAGGAGGCCGCAUGGUGUCGGGCCCUCGGAGGAAGGUCGGAAGGUCACCGACAGGAUGGGUAACCUGGGUCCUAAAGAGGGCAAGUGACUUAGCUGAGGUCAUACAACUAGGCAUUAGCAGAGCUGGGAUUCAAAUGAAGAUUAUCCAACUGGAGAAAUGAUUAUUUUUCACAUGUGAAUUUUAGUAUGUUCCCUCCCAACUUGGAAACAUCACUUUGUAAGUACUAUAAAGAGCACUGUAUUAGAAUAAAAAUAACACUUUUUAAAUCUUAUCUGUUUGA